RNAcentral lists this long non-coding RNA (5096 nucleotides) under Sus scrofa (pig). RNAcentral's name for it is "lncRNA (ENSSSCG00000047692.1)". Lineage: Eukaryota; Metazoa; Chordata; Mammalia; Artiodactyla; Suidae. The record is from RNAcentral.
GCUGCACCUGUGGCAUAUGGAAGUACCCAGGCUAGGGGUUGAAUCGGAGCUGCAGCUGCCAGCCUGCCAUGAGGGAUCUGAGCCUCGUCUGUGACCUACAUCACAGCUCAUGGUAAUGGCCGGAUACUUAAUCCACUGAGGGAGGCCAGGGAUCGAACCCACUUCUUCAUGGCUACUAGUUGGGUUCGUUACUGAGCCACAAUGGGAACUCCUGGAAUUGGGUUUUGGGGGCCAAGGGGACCAGGGAGGAGAGCCACUGGAAAGGACAGAGGCACAAUUGUUCAGGGGAAAAGAUGGGCGGGGGCGCGGAGAAUGUUUUGUGAAAGUGGCCACCCUCAUGGAAGCCUUAAAGGUGGGUGGGGUGGGGCAAGAGGAGACUGGUCUGUCCUGCUCAGGCCUGGGGACCCUGGAACCCUGGUGAGGGCUUUGGAGCUGGCCAGGUGCCCAGGGGCCACCUCCCACCUCCAUUACCCUCAGAACGGAGAAGCCAAGAAAGGGAACCCAGCAAGGUACUCCCGUUUCAGUCUCUGGCAGGACGGUCCUGCGUAGAAUGUUCCUAUGGGGUAAAGGCGUUAUUACUUCUCUCCUCCUGGCCCAGGGCUUGAUGGCUGAGCAAACGCCUAUGCUUUAUAAGACUGAUGUGCUACCCUUUUUUUUUUUUUUCCCACUUUUGGCCGCCCCUGUGGCAUAUAGAGCUCCUGGGCCAGGGAUCAGACCUCAACCACAUUCAAGACCUAAGACUUAGCUGUGGCAAUGCUAGAUCCUUAACCCACUGUGCCGGGCUGGGGAUAGAACCCACGUCCCAGUGCUGCCAAGAUGCUGCCAAUCCCAUUGCACCACAGUGGGAGCUCCAUACCUGCUGCUUUAUGUAGUUGAUGUGGGGGGAGAAUGGAGCGGGUGGUCAAGCCCUUUGCUCCUUGAAAGGUCGAGCUUCUGGACUGGGACCAGGUCCAGCUAAUCCUGGGAUGGGCGCCUCCUCCUCCCUGCUCAGUCCUCCAGGCUGAAAACAACAGCCACCCCCAGGCACUGGACUGGGUGCUUGUUACAGCAACCCUGUGAGAUGGGAUCAUGAUAAACAUAUCACAGGGGAGGAAACUGAGGCUUCAGAGGUUAGGUGAAGAGUCCAGACUUAGCUAGAAAGGGGAGCAGUUGGACUUUAAAUGGUAAGAUACUGUUAAGGGAAAAAAGGUAGAACAUUUUUGGGUUUACGGUCUUUGGAGUUUAAAAAAAAAAAAAGAAAAAAUUUCAAAUCCAAUUUUGGACUUGCCAAGCACUUUGCAUGUAUUAUUUCUGUUUGUCUUUUCAAACAAUGCUAUAAAGUAUUCUGAUUCCUAUUUUAUGAAGGGGGAAAAAAGGGGGCUCAGGAAGGGGAAGGUUUACGUGGAAAUCUACCCAGGUAGCACAUCAUGGAGCUGGGCUCAGAAUCCAGUCUGGCUAUUCCCAGGGAGGAUUUUUGGAAUCUUGCUUCCUAGAAUCGACUCUCCCCUGGGCCAGGGAUUCUGUCUUUAGCUGCCUCAUAUUUUCAUUAAACCCGCCUCGGGUGCCCAGGCCCAACUCAGAAAGAUUUUGUGGGAAAGGCUGCCACCUUGUGGCCAAAGAGCAAGCCCACCAUUUAGCAGCUGGCUAUGACCUGGAAAGGCAGGGCUUUGGGAACAGGUGAAGUUGGUCUCCGAAGAGAGACUUCCGCUGGUGCAGACUUGCUUCUGGAAGGCUUCUCCACAGUCAGAGGGCCAGCUCCGGCAUCGCAGGGGUGGGGACUUCAGGUUCCCCAGCUGCUAAGGGUGGAAAGUGGACCUUGGCUGUGGGCACAGUGGACCGCAACUUUUCUGCAAAGUCCCGUUCGGGGAAUUCUGGAAGGUGAGCUGAGCUAAGACGUCUCCUUCAGCCCUUCUCCUGAGGUUUUGGUCCUUUUACCAGUGUGGGGGUGGGGAGAGGGGCUGUUCGCGUAAACCGACACUUCCUCUGCAGAGACGAACCCCCACUCCCGGAGGUUCUGGGGCUGUAUCCUCCCUGUGUUCUACCCUGUGUGGACACUGUCCUCAACCCUGCGGGAGUUACAGAACCUCGUCCUCACUCCUAAACCUGCUCCUGCGGGAGCUCUCCCUCUGUCCUCUUCCAGGCUGCUCCAUGUGGCUGUCACCAUCUCCCAGGCUCUGUUCUUCUGCUCCUCUGCUCUCUCCACUUUGUUCAUCAAAGGAGUGCCUAGUCAUAUUUCUCCCCAGGUACACCCGCGGGGUGCAGGAGGACGCCCACCUUCUUAGCCUCGUUUUCCUUCCAUACUGACAUCGAAAUCUCAGGCCAUGUGCCUCUUGUUAGGCUCCAAUCAGUGCUUCUCAGCUCGGGCUGCACAUUCAAAUCACCUGGGGGUGGGGCUUUGCAACCUCCCUCUGCCAGGCCACGCCCCCUCGAGAUCCUGAUGUAAUUGGCCUGGGCCCUGGAGGUCCUGCGUGCGUCCAGAAAACUCCGCAGGUGCGCAGCCUUGCUCCAGCUUUUCUGAGCACCUCCCCCUGCCCCAUCUUGCUUGCGGAUUUCUGCUCACCUCCUUCCAGGCAGCCCUCUCGCCUUCUCUCCCCUUGUUCUCGUCCCUGUGAGAAGACGCUCUCAGACUGGUGGACAGAACUGGUGGUCCUCUGCCCCGCCUUGACAGUUUUGUGCAUCACUUCUGCGCGGGUGCGGAGCCCGCCGUGCUCUCCUACGGAUCACCUGAUGGUUCUCUUGUUUUCGACUGAGGUUUUGGACCAUGCUUUAUUUCUCCGUGUGUUCCCAGCUUCGGAAGUUGUCCGGGACAACGCUGUGUUUGGUCACUGGGACUGCUGAUGGAGGACUCAACGGCUUUCUUAGAUAGCCAGGCUUCACGUUGCUGAGAUUUCUGACCUUCAGAAGGAUGUCACCCUUUCCGAAGAUCCCUUGAGGCCGAGAGCAGCGCUCUCCCACCAAGGUACCUGUUCCUGGGCCGGGAGAGGGGAGGGGCCGCGCGGAUGGGUUAAGGAACUGGCAUCGCCAUAGCUGUGGUGUAGGUUGCAACUCCAGCUUGGAUUCGACCCCUGGCCUGGGAACUUGCAUAUGCCGCGGGGUGGCCAAAAAAGGAAAAAACCCAAAAAACAGACCCACAUUGGGUGGGGAUUUGUCAUGCGUUGGUGAUAACAUGUAAUAUCUUUAAUUGUCCUAGCAGCCCUCUUGUUAGCAGUUUUUUACGGGUGAGGAAACUGAGGCUCAUAGGUGAUGGGGUAUGUGGCUGGGACUCCACAGUAUCCUGGCUUCUCUUCCUAGACUUACAGCAGGCUACAUAUUCGAGUCUCUCUUGCAGGAGGUGGGUUCAUGGACCCCUCCCUCCUCCCCAGGGAAUGUGAGUGGACGUGAUUGUAUUAACUGCGGCGUGGCCCUUUAAAAAUAAAAUAGUUACACGUGUGAUCUUGGCGCUCCUUAUCCAUCAACCAGUUGAAGGGAGAGGGCUUCCAAGAUGCUGAGGACCUAGAAGAAGGCAGAGUUACAAGAUGCGAGGAGCCUGGGGCCCUGUGCUGGAGCAGAGCUGUUCCCUUGCUGACUGCUGUGUGAGUGACGAGUCAGCUCGUUCCGUGUUAACUUAGGUUGGGUUUCUCUCUUAAACCGGCGAAUGCCAUUUACCCUAAUUAUACAUGGAAACUUCGCAAGUCCUGUUUGGUGAGCAGCUGAGUUAGGAUUGUUCUUGUCAAGCUGUCGCCAGGGUGCACAAUCUCAUCCCCUAAAAGGCCUUUCCAGAAUCGUCUAUCAUUGUGCGACUCUUUACGGAAGAGGUCAAACAUUUCAUCCUGGUCAUUCUAGCACCGGCUCGAGGAAAGGCAAGAGAGGACUGUUUGUUUGUGUGUUUUAACCCAAGACGGUCUCCGUCUCCCAUAGUUUGAGGCAGGUGUGGGUGUGAUGGAGGGCUGGGCUGGCCUGAGUGUCACAGGCUACUCAUGGAUCAUUCAAAGAAGGUUGGUAUAAAGAGAGUUUCACAUUCAAGGGAAAUGCUGGUGACACGUGAUUCCCCGUGUACUCCGCCGCCCCUUUGGGCCUCCCUGCCACCGGAUAGGCUGAGUCAGCAAAAGCUCUGGGCUGGGCAAGCAUCUCUCUGCCUUCUUGCCUGAGAGCCACUUUCUGCCUGGGUUGGUUGGUGGCACUGGCUGCACCUACCCCAGGGGGACAUAGGACACAAUAGUUGGUUCCCAUUUGGCUCCCACCAGAUCAGGAUUCCAGCUGGCCUCAUGACCAGGGGGACAUUGAUCUGUGAGCACAUAUCCAAGGGGCCCUGACCCCAUCGAGUCAAACAAGGCUGCUGAACCAAAGCACCUGGGAGCUGUGUCUGCUUUCUGCCCUCCUGAAGGGGUAUGGCCCCAACCUCCUCCAGAAAACAGGGGUGUUCACACAGGCUUCUGAGAAGGAUGUUCUUUGGAGUAUUUAGGUUCUCCUGUUUGCUUGCUCUGCUACUGGGGCCCUCCAGGUCCAAUACUGGGUGUACAGAAGGCUAGCCUGGCCUCUCUCCCUGCCUCCCUCCCCCUGGAAGGCCAGUCUGGUCAGGCUGGAGGACUGGAGGCAGCAGUGAUUCAGAGCACUUGCACGGUCCUGGGGUGAUGUGCCACCCAGACCUUGCGGGAGGUUUUGAAAUUGACCACAGCCCAGCUUGAAUCAUUCUACCACUUCCCGGCUGGGUGACAAGUGGCCUCAGUUUCUCCACCUGCAAAGUGAAUGAUACCAGGAGCUUGUUCUUGAAAUCCAUCCCUGAGAUACACUUCCAUUUCUUUUUUGGCCACCAGCCUCAUCAACUCACACAGUUGACCACAUCAGCUCCCUACCUGUUCGCUGCAUGGUAUCCAGAGCACUUGUUAAGAAAUUAAAACGGAUUCCCUCUCGUUUCUAAUUUAAAAAAAAUCCAGUCUUUAUGGAGUUCCCUUGUGGUUCAGCAGGUUAAGGAUCUGGCAUUGUCACUGCUGUGGUGCAUGUUCAAUUCCUGGCCCUGGGAACUUCUGCAUGCCAUGGGUGCAGCCAAAAAAAAAAAAAAAAAAUCCAGUCUUUAAUCAGCUCGUUUUCUGAAACUCGCCAACUCUUCUGUUUUCCAGCAUAUGUGACCACAGUGCCUU